GUGAGGAAUUUUCCGCAAUGGGCGAAAGCCUGACGGAGCAAUGCCGCGUGAAGGAUGAAGGCCUAUGGGUUGUAAACUUCUUUUCUCAGAAAAGAAUUAUGACGGUAUCUGAGGAAUAAGCAUCGGCUAACUCUGUGCCAGCAGCCGCGGUAAGACAGAGGAUGCAAGCGUUAUCCGGAAUGAUUGGGCGUAAAGCGUCUGUAGGUUGUUUAAAAAGUAUUCUGUCAAAGAUUAGGGCUUAACCCUAGAUAGGCAGAAUAAACGUUUAAGGUAGAGUUUGGUAGAGGGAGAGGGAAUUCCCGGUGGAGCGGUGAAAUGCGUAGAUAUCGGGAGGAACACCAAAGGCGAAGGCAGUCUGCUCGGCCAAUACUAACACUGAGAGACGAAAGCGAGGGGAGCAAAUGGGAUUAGAAACCCCGGUAGUCC
Molecule: ribosomal RNA, 426 nt
Filed under: uncultured bacterium
Lineage: Bacteria
Description: partial 16S ribosomal RNA
Rfam family: Bacterial small subunit ribosomal RNA
Source: RNAcentral